Molecule: non-coding RNA, 267 nt
Organism: Pelobates cultripes (western spadefoot toad)
Lineage: Eukaryota; Metazoa; Chordata; Amphibia; Anura; Pelobatidae
Source: the annotation of a GenBank genome assembly
UGCGUACAUAGUUUAUACUAAGUGACCCAUAGGUUGAGGAGGUGGUGACCGUGGCGGUGUAGGUGGAAGCAGCGGUGGAGGAGGAGGAUGAGGUAGCUAACACUGUUUUUUUAUAUAUAUAUACAUGUGACGGUGCAUUUGGAUGUCAUCCAUAUCAACUUUCAAUGCCAGCUUCUGCGCCUACCAUGGUGACCACGGGUAAAGGGGAAUCAGGGUUCCAUUCCGUACAGGGACCCUGAGAAACGGCUACCACAUGUAAGGAAGGCA